This 629-nucleotide long non-coding RNA is filed under the name Gallus gallus (chicken). Lineage: Eukaryota; Metazoa; Chordata; Aves; Galliformes; Phasianidae. The record is from RNAcentral.
GAAUAUAAUAUAUAGUUACAGUUAUAGUAAGGAUAACUUAAUAGAACUGUAUAAUCUUAUUUUGCUAUUCCAGCAGAAGCAUUAUGGACACCAUGUAUGUGCUGAGGAGUGGGAGGAUUGCUGAAGUUUGUGCAGAGGUAUUACAGGUUGGAAAGAAGAAAUGGGGACAAGUGAGGCAAGUGUAGGAGUGAGCGGGCUAGAAUCUGGGAGUCAGCAGCUCACGUGUCAGUUCAUCAAGGAUGAUCAAGAAAUAGGACCUGAAAGAAAUUGUAUUUCCAGUAUAAAGAGUGCUGCUACACAAAAAUUUAUAUAGCUGAAUGUACAGCUUCCUGCUCUUCAGUAUCCAAAUCAGUGCUGUUAAGAUCAGUGUGGAAGCUGAAGAACUUGGUAUGCCAGUACACAGGGCUACACUUGGUACAGUGUGAGAAGACAAGAAACUAAGUGAACAGUUAAAGAGCAGUCGUUUCUGGGAGUUCAGGUGUGUUACCUGACUGGUCCAGGAAGAUAAAUUAUAUAUUCAUUAAUUUUCAGUGUUUGGAGCUUUGUCUUCAAAGUAACAAAUCUGCAGCCAUAUUACCUUUAGGUCAUUGUGUAAUGCAUGCCCAACUAAAAUCCUUCCAUUCAAGAUA